This 254-nucleotide ribosomal RNA is filed under the name uncultured bacterium. RNAcentral's name for it is "partial 16S ribosomal RNA". It matches the Rfam family "Bacterial small subunit ribosomal RNA", at positions 524 to 776 of the family's 1533-position model. The record is from RNAcentral.
UACGUAGGAGGCGAGCGUUGUCCGGAAUUACUGGGCGUAAAGCGCGCGUAGGCGGGGCGCUGCGUCGGCGGUGAAAGCCCACGGCUCACCCGUGGGAGUGCCGCCGAUACGGGCGCUCUUGGAGGGCGGUAGGGGCCGGUGGAACGCCCGGAGUAGCGGUGAAAUGCGUUGAGAUCGGGCAGAACACCAGUGGCGAAGGCGGCCGGCUGGGCCGACCCUAACGCUGAGGCGCGAAAGCCGGGGGAGCGAACGGA